AAAUCAACACAAAUCAUGUUCCCGACAUCUUUACUGCUGCUUUUGGCAGCAAUGACCUGUGCGGAGUGUAACAUUGUCCUGACGCAGACAAACUCUAUAGUUCUGCAGCCGGGACACUCACUUACUCUCACAUGUGAGGUGUCUGGAUACUCUGUUACUGAUAAUAGCUAUGCAACAGCCUGGAUACGACAUCCUGCAGGAAAAGCUCUGGAGUGGAUCGUGCACAUAUGGGGAGGUGGAAACAUAUACAAAAAAGACUCACUGUCAAACAGGUUCAGCAUCUCCAAAAGUGACUCCAGCAACACAGUGACUCUUAAAGGACAAAAUCUACAGACUGAAGACACAGCUGUGUAUUACUGCGCCUAUUACGGGAGUAGCUACGGUGUCUUUGACUACUGGGGAAAGGGAACAACGGUGACUGUAACAUCAGCUGAAGAAUCUGCGCCAAAGUCAAUCUUCAGUAUGUCUCAGUGCUCUACUAAUGCUGGUGAGUUCGUGACCGUCGGCUGCUUGGCAAGAGGUUUCUCUCCUGCGGACUCACUUACUAUCACAUGGACGGAUUAUGCCUCAAAAGAAUUGAGUGAUGUCGUGCAGUAUCCAGCAUUCGGGAGGGAUGGAGACUAUACCAAAAUCAGCCAUAUGCGCGUGAAAAAAAGCGAUUUGGAUCCUCAAAAACCAUACAAAUGCGAAGCUUCAAAUUCUAAAGGCAAAAAAGAUACUGCUGUUCCUCUACUUCCACCACCCCCACCGCCAGAUGUGCGUGCAACUGUGUACUUAACAGUACCUACAAAAAUGGAGUUAGACAAUGAAACAGCAACCUUCAUGUGUUUAGCCCAACGGUUUUCGCCUAAAACAUACAAGUUUAAGUGGUCUCUGGAUGGUAAUGAGGUGACAAAUGUGAUAGACAAUUGUGACAAAAGUGAGAAGAAAGGCUCAGUAACCGAAUAUAGCGCCACGAGCAUUUUGCAAAUCAGUGCCGAUGCCUGGAAGAAGCCAACCAGCAAAAUUAAGUGUGAGUUCGUGCACAAGGCGGGAAAUGAAGAAAAAGAGGCCGACUAUUCAGUUCCUUUUCCAGAUUGCAGCGAUAUUACUGUUGAUAUAGUGCCUCCCUCCCUUGAAGCCAUGCUGAAAAAUAGAACAGGAGUGCUGAAGUGCAAGGCUACAGCAGAAAAUUCGGGAUUCACCAAAAUAACAAUAGAGGCGAAUAAUAAAGUCAUCGCUGAGACAGAAGUAAAUGGCAACAACAGAUAUGUGGAACUUGACGCCCCAAUAGGCUAUGAAGAAUGGAGCAACGGCACUGAAUUUACAUGCACCGCUGAACACAAAGAGCUAGCAGGGCCCAAGUCGACUACGUUCGUCAGAGAAAAUGGUAAAAAACCUGAGAAACACAAGAAACCCACUGUUUUCAUAUUAGCACCCCCAGAGCAAAAAUCGGGUGAACCGAUGACCCUGACAUGUUAUGUGAAGGACUUCUACCCCAAAGAGGUGUUUGUGUCUUGGCUUUCUGAUGAUGAACCUGUGACUUCUAAAUACAGCACUACCCUCCCAAUUCAGAAUGAUAAAAUCUUCUCCGUCUACAGUCAGCUAACAGUUAAUGAUUCCAAGUGGAAGAAUGGUACAAUGUUCAGUUGUGUCGUGUACCACGAAGCCAUUGAUGAAAACAUGCGCGUACUGACAAGAUCUAUUAAUGAUAAUACUGAAAAGGAAGGUGUAAUUAAUCUAAGUAUGAAUACCUCUCCAUGUUGCAAGGCCUAGAGCAUUGUGUAUGUGGUGUCUUCCUGUUAUGCCUGUUAAGUGUUCAUCUUGUUGUCUUUUUUUUUUCUUUUGGUUUUUGGGUUGCAUGUCCGUUUUGUAAUUGUGUUGGUCUUUAAUGUUUGUGGCUUCUUGCUUCUUUGAGAUACAUUCUUGCAUAUUACAUUUAGGAAAAUACUAAUAAAAAAAAGAAACAAAGCAUAA
Non-coding RNA from Onychostoma macrolepis, 1956 nucleotides. The record is from the annotation of a RefSeq genome assembly. Lineage: Eukaryota; Metazoa; Chordata; Actinopteri; Cypriniformes; Cyprinidae.